RNAcentral lists this unclassified non-coding RNA (385 nucleotides) under Hevea brasiliensis (rubber tree). Lineage: Eukaryota; Viridiplantae; Streptophyta; Magnoliopsida; Malpighiales; Euphorbiaceae. The record is from RNAcentral.
GAGAAAUUUAAAUUUCUCAAAAAAUAUACUUAUUAUGUUAAAUUUUGAAAAUAAACUUUAGAUAUAGAAAUUAAUUUGGAAAACAAACUUUAGGUAUAAUAAUCAAGCAUGGUUCAUUUUCUUACGCAACUCUCCCUUUCCCUUUUUUCGCCUUCCUCUUAUUUUUCUUGGCUUUCUCCUUGAUACUUUUCUUCUCCAUUUCUUGGCUCGCCUCUUCAUUUUCAAUCACUUGUUUAUCUUCCUUGGCCUGGGAUUCCGAUUCUUUGCAUUUCAUUUCUUUUUUCCUCAGAAGAAAUCCAACAAGUCCAUUUAGCGUAGCAUCGACAUUAACAUCAUCCCCUUUCAUGAGCUCCUCUGCAAUUUCAGCUGGAGUCACUUCCACUUC